RNAcentral lists this non-coding RNA (21 nucleotides) under Caenorhabditis elegans. The record is from RNAcentral. Lineage: Eukaryota; Metazoa; Nematoda; Chromadorea; Rhabditida; Rhabditidae.
UUUCCACAAAUGAAGGAAAAU